Molecule: long non-coding RNA, 2058 nt
Filed under: Olea europaea subsp. europaea
Lineage: Eukaryota; Viridiplantae; Streptophyta; Magnoliopsida; Lamiales; Oleaceae
Source: RNAcentral
AAAAUAGCAGGCACACACAAGUUCAAUGCCCAAUCAAGUUGUGUCACUCUCUUCAAAAUCUCAGUGCCAGAAUAUAGCCGCCAUCUCAACACCAGCUAAAGCAGAUAAGAGGGGGGAGCUCUUCAAUUCAGUUUGAUCAAUUAAUGGCAAGCUGUAAUGAUAUUCACGAAAGCAAGGAGCAUAUCAGCAAGGAAGUUGUAGUAAUAGUGGUGCCACUUCCAGCCCAGGGCCACCUCAAUCAGCUUCUGCAACUAUCCUGCCUCUUAUCUUCCUAUGGCCUCCAGGUUCACUUUGUCAGUUCUGCCAUCUACAACCGCCAAGCCAAACUCCGUGCAAAUGGCCUGGAUAUGGACAAACUCCAUUUCCACGAUCUUCCAACACCUGCUUUUCAAUCACCUCCUCCGAAUCCCAACUCGACUAAUAAGUUCCCAACACAGCUGCAGCCGGCCUGGUAUGCCAUGUUGAGCCUACGCCAACUGGUGGCUGAAUACGUAGAACACAUGUCCAAGCAAGCAAAAAGAGUUGUCAUUAUUCAUGACCCAGUUAUGGCUGCGGUUGUUCAGGAGGCGAUUCCUAAUGCAGAAUCCUAUGCUUUCAACUGUGUUGCAGCUUAUUAUCAAUCCUCUUUUCAAUGGGAAUCCCUGGGAAAACCAUUCCCUAUUGAACAACCAAAAAAUUUACCCUCUUUCGAAGGAUGUGUCCCAGAUGAAGUCUUUGAAUUUGUAGCUUUACAGGAAGAGCCAUUGAAAGAUAGAGCAGGGUAUUUGUACAAUACUUGUAGAGCCAUAGAAGGGCCUUUUGUUGAUCUAUUAGAAAGGGAAGAGGUUGCUGAGAAUAGAAAAUUAUGGGCAAUUGGACCAAUUCUUCCAUCAAAAUCCUUAUCUGCUAAUAGCCAACACAAAUGUUUGGAGUGGCUUGACAAACAAGCUCCAAAAUCCGUCAUCUAUGUAUCGUUCGGGACGAUGACUUCAUUGUCGGACGAAGAAAUCAAAGAGCAGGCAAUAGGAUUAGAACAGAGCAAACAGAAGUUCAUUUGGGUGCUGAGGGACGCCGAUAAAGGAAACGUGUUCGACGGUGAAGUUAGACGACCUGAAUUACCAGACGGAUUCGAGGAAAGAGUCGUAGAGUUUGGGAUGGUGGUGAGAGAUUGGGCACCACAGCCAGAAAUUCUUUCCCAUCCAUCAACUGGUGGAUUCAUGAGCCAUUGUGGCUGGAAUUCAUGCUUAGAAAGCAUUACCAUGGGAGUGCCAAUUGCAGCCUGGCCUAUGCAUUCUGACCAACCAAGAAACGCUGUGCUCAUAACAGAAAUACUGAAAACAGGUAUCUCGAACCACCAUAUUUAAAAGUUUAAAUAAAUUAUUACAGAACAGACAAAUUUAUUCAUUUAUAUUUUGUGUUCAAACAGGUCUCAUUGUGAGGGAAUGGGAACGGAGGGAGGAACUGGUGAAGGCUUCCACUAUUGAGAAUGUUGUGAGAAGAUUAAUGGCAUCGGAAGAAGGAAAUACGCUGCGAAAACAGGCUGAGGAGUUGGCUGCUGUCGUUAGACGGUCAACUGAGGAAGGCGGCACAUCUAAAGCUGAAUUAGAUUCAUUUAUUGCCCAUAUUACUAGACAGAAUAUGGAUAGUGUCUCUCCAACAUCAAGUUCCAUUCCCAGUUCCUCCACAGGUUGUAACAUUUCGUCUCAUGCCUCUGGUGCUUGAAGAAUUCAGUUCUUUUAAUGAACAGAACCCAUUUCCUUUCCAGCAAGGUGUGUUCAAUGUAAUUGAUUGGUAACAAGAGAAAUUUUCAUUUCCAUUUGUACCGAUGUUCAUUUCAUGGUCUGAGUACUCAAAUCAUCCAACUUGACUAAGUAGGUCGAACCGAAUGUGUCUUUCAAAGAUAAAACAUAUGAUAAUAACUGUAGCUGAAUUAUAUUUUGAUCUAAAAUGAUCAUAUCAUAAGUUAAAUGUUUCAACACCCAUUGAACUUUGGCUAAUAUGAUAGUUUACUUAUCAAAGUUCACAAUGUUUUCCACUGGCCACUCAGUUUAAACUUUUGCACUCCAUCAUUCAUCAAAC